Molecule: long non-coding RNA, 222 nt
Filed under: Phoenix dactylifera (date palm)
Lineage: Eukaryota; Viridiplantae; Streptophyta; Magnoliopsida; Arecales; Arecaceae
Description: long non-coding RNA (PDAC_LNC003389)
Source: RNAcentral
AGUCACGCACAUUAGUCAAGCUAAGUAGGAAGGUCUUGACCCAAUUUAAUUAAGAAUUAAAUUAUGGGUCAUUUGGAAUUUGGUUCUGUCUAUGUUCAGCUAGCACUGAACAUGAGGUACAUGCUAAAUUUCAUGGAUGAACAACUAAUUAAGUCUGUAUUUCGGGUCAAUCAAGUUUUAAUUAAUAUAAUUGAACUUGAUCAGGACUCAAUUGUUGAGAUU